Molecule: small nuclear RNA, 191 nt
Filed under: Microcebus murinus (gray mouse lemur)
Lineage: Eukaryota; Metazoa; Chordata; Mammalia; Primates; Cheirogaleidae
Description: U2 spliceosomal RNA (ENSMICG00000022921.3)
Rfam family: U2 spliceosomal RNA
About the family: U2 is a small nuclear RNA (snRNA) component of the spliceosome (involved in pre-mRNA splicing). Complementary binding between U2 snRNA (in an area lying towards the 5' end but 3' to hairpin I) and the branchpoint sequence (BPS) of the intron results the bulging out of an unpaired adenosine, on the BPS, which initiates a nucleophilic attack at the intronic 5' splice site, thus starting the first of two transesterification reactions that mediate splicing.
Source: Rfam by way of RNAcentral
ACUGCUUCUCAGCCUGUUGGCUAAGAUCGAGUAUAGUAGCUGUUGUUAUCAGUUUAAUAUCUGAUACAUCCUCUACUGGAGGACAAUGUAUUAAAUAUAUUUUUGGAGCAGAGAGAUAGAAUAGGAGCUUGCUUUGUCCACUCCAUGCAUUGACCUGGGAUAGCAGUAUCUCCAGGAAUGAUGCACCCAAC